UAGGGAAUCUUCCGCAAUGGACGCAAGUCUGACGGAGCAACGCCGCGUGAGUGAGGAAGGUUUUCGGAUCGUAAAACUCUGUUGCCAGGGAAGAACACCAGGGAGAGGAAAUGCUCUUUGGGUGACGGUACCUGAGAAGAAAGCCCCGGCUAACUACGUGCCAGCAGCCGCGGUAAUACGUAGGGGGCAAGCGUUGUCCGGAAUUAUUGGGCGUAAAGCGCGCGCAGGCGGCAACUUAAGUCUGGUGUUUAAGCCCGGGGCUCAACCCCGGUACGCACUGGAAACUGGGUAGCUGGAGUGCAGGAGAGGGGAGUGGAAUUCCACGUGUAGCGGUGAAAUGCGUAGAUAUGUGGAGGAACACCAGUGGCGAAGGCGACUCUCUGGCCUGUAACUGACGCUGAGGCGCGAAAGCGUGGGGAGCAAACA
This 426-nucleotide ribosomal RNA is filed under the name uncultured Paenibacillus sp. Its description in RNAcentral is "bacterial SSU rRNA". It matches the Rfam family "Bacterial small subunit ribosomal RNA", at positions 355 to 774 of the family's 1533-position model. The record is from RNAcentral. Lineage: Bacteria; Bacillati; Bacillota; Bacilli; Caryophanales; Paenibacillaceae.